Molecule: ribosomal RNA, 253 nt
Filed under: uncultured bacterium
Lineage: Bacteria
Description: partial 16S ribosomal RNA
Rfam family: Bacterial small subunit ribosomal RNA
Source: RNAcentral
UACGGAGGGUGCAAGCGUUAUCCGGAUUCACUGGGUUUAAAGGGUGCGUAGGCGGGCAGGUAAGUCAGUGGUGAAAUCUCCGAGCUUAACUCGGAAACUGCCGUUGAUACUAUUUGUCUUGAAUAUUGUGGAGGUAAGCGGUAUAUGUCAUGUAGCGGUGAAAUGCUUAGAUAUGACGUAGAACACCAAUUGCGAAGGCAGCUUACUACACAGCGAUUGACGCUGAGGCACGAAAGCGUGGGGAGCAAACAGG